CUUCCGCGCAUUAUUACUCACGGUACGAGUUUGAAGUGGCACAGCGCGUACCAAAAGUAAUAAUGGGCGGCAG
Non-coding RNA from Podarcis lilfordi (Lilford's wall lizard), 73 nucleotides. NCBI's taxonomy places the organism in Eukaryota, Metazoa, Chordata, Lepidosauria, Squamata, Lacertidae. The record is from the annotation of a GenBank genome assembly.